RNAcentral lists this ribosomal RNA (105 nucleotides) under Peromyscus maniculatus bairdii (prairie deer mouse). Lineage: Eukaryota; Metazoa; Chordata; Mammalia; Rodentia; Cricetidae. The record is from RNAcentral.
UUCUACUGUCAUACUACCCUGCACAUGCCUGAUCUUGUCUGGUCUUAUAAGAUGAGCAGGGCCAUCCUGGUUAGUACUUGGAGGGGAGACAUUUUAUAGCAGCAG